UACAGAGGAUGCAAGCGUUAUCCGGAUUUAUUGGGUUUAAAGGGUCCGUAGGCGGAUGUGUAAGUCAGUGGUGAAAUCUCACAGCUUAACUGUGAAACUGCCAUUGAUACUGCAUGUCUUGAGUAAGGUAGAAGUGGCUGGAAUAAGUAGUGUAGCGGUGAAAUGCAUAGAUAUUACUUAGAACACCAAUUGCGAAGGCAGGUCACUAUGUCUUAACUGACACUGAGAGACGAAAGCUAGGGGAGCGAAUGGG
RNAcentral lists this ribosomal RNA (253 nucleotides) under uncultured bacterium. Its description in RNAcentral is "partial 16S ribosomal RNA". It matches the Rfam family "Bacterial small subunit ribosomal RNA", at positions 524 to 776 of the family's 1533-position model. The record is from RNAcentral.